Myotis davidii is the source of this 1660-nucleotide long non-coding RNA. RefSeq lists it as uncharacterized. The transcript is spliced from 2 exons. The record is from RefSeq and is a predicted model, not a curated record. Lineage: Eukaryota; Metazoa; Chordata; Mammalia; Chiroptera; Vespertilionidae.
CUGGUUGUCAGAUAAGAUCUUACUGUCUCCAUUUAAUGGCUAGGAAAGUUCAGGCAUAUAUUAGGCAGGUCAGGGUUUUCCAAGGUAUGUUUUCCAGAGCACAAGUCCCCUUGAUGAUCCAUGAAAAGGGGUUCUGCUGUCAAUCAUGAUUAGGAAACCUCUGAUUGAUUCAUAAUACAUCUUAAUAUAGUAAAGGUCCUGAAAGGAACCUUAGUUAAGAAACCUACAUGAUCUGAAAUCUGCUUAACAUUGAUCAACCUCCCAUUAAACUUCCUGCUUCUACACACAUCUCUGCUCCCUCCUGUUUUCAUAGAGGAUCAGUCCCUUCAUCUAUGCCCAGCAUCAUAUUCCCACCCCAUUCUCAGGAGUCUUUCAUCUUUAUCUCUUUCUGCAUCAACACUUUCUCCCUCCUGGACCUUUCCAAUCAGCAUUUACAUAAACUCAAGUCUCUCUCUAAAUCCUUGCUUUCAGUGUGGUCAAUGGACUAGCAGUAUCGACUUCACCUAGGAGCCUGAUAGAGAUGCAGAAUCUCAGGCUCCAGCCCCACCUGCUGUUACCUGCAGUUCAACAAGAUCCCAGCUCUUCUCUCUACUCCUGGAAUUGAAAGGGGCUGACCCUACAACAACAGUUCCCAGGCUCCUUUGCCAACUGGGUGCUGCCAGUGGAAAACCCCGGGAUGACUGAGGGUGGGAGGAGCCGGAGUGUCUACGUUGAGGUGGCUCCACCUCUGAGGUUCUGGUCCUGUCCUGGACUCUGUUAACACCGCGUCCUGCCCUAGGGCCUCCAGCCCUAGGGAUGGGAGCAGCUCCCUGCUCUUACUAAGCUCUAGGUUGCCUCACUGUCCUUUGUUUGGCUUUUUGGUUUUCCCAAUAGCUAUGUAACUAGGUCCCCAUACCUGGUAUGUUUUCCUGCAUGGAUCUGGGCUGUUACAUGGAGCUAUCAGAAAAUGGGAGUUGGAGGAGAGAGAACAUUUGAGAACUAGGCCAACACUACUUGACUUGGUAGACUACCUUGAAGUCAAGGCACCUCACGGAAAGUAAUGGAGACCAGGAGGCAUCUAAUAGCACUUUCCUUUGAAAGCUGAUGUCCUCCACUCUGGUGGGAAAGUUGUGUAAAUAGAGAAAAGGGCAGGUUACUGAGGACAAUCCAGCUCCCUGCAUGGCAGCGUUUGAUUCUCUCUGGUUGUCAGCAAGUCACAAACAAGUCAGUGUUAUUGUGCAGCUGCCUAAGAUGGAGGUCAGAGGAUUUGUCCCACAACAGAAAUAAGUUCUCUGGCAACAACUUGUUUUGGCUGCAUCCCUCACCUGUCUGGGGUGGGGCAGUUACUGAAUUGUCACAGUUGGUGGUUGGGGCCUAUUGUCAAAUGUCAAUAUUUUCACAGUCAUCCCACACUGCUGAGCUAUAGCUCGCCUUGGCAUCUGACCCUUGGCCCAGGAGGACAGGCAAUUCUUUCAUACACAGUGGGCAAAGACAAGGGAGACUGUCUUUUCCCCUCAAAGACUGUUCACGUAGGGGGCCAGUUCACUCUGAAUAAGGCCCUUUCAAAUAGAGCAAGAACAGAAUUCUGGGACAGUUUACCAAGUGUGAUUUUUGCAGGCUGGUUCUGUAAUGAGAUGUAAGCCUUAACAUCCAAAAUAAAGAAAAUUACUUUUUCAGAAUA